GAGUUUGAUCCUGGCUCAGAACGAACGCUGGCGGCGUGCCUAACACAUGCAAGUCGAGCGGGAUCCAUCCAGUAGCAAUACUGGGGAAGAUCUAGCGGCGAACGGGUGAGUAACACGUGAGAAACCUGCCCCGAAGUCUGGGAUAACCCGAGGAAACUCGAGCUAAUACCGGAUGCCCUCCUCUGGUCGCAUGGCCGGUUGAGGAAAGAUUCAUCGCUUCGGGAGGGUCUCGCGGCCUAUCAGCUAGUUGGUGGGGUAACGGCCCACCAAGGCGUCGACGGGUAGCUGGUCUGAGAGGACGAUCAGCCACACUGGGACUGAGACACGGCCCAGACUCCUACGGGAGGCAGCAGUGGGGAAUCUUGCGCAAUGGGCGAAAGCCUGACGCAGCAACGCCGCGUGCGGGAUGAAGGCCUCGGUUGUAACG
RNAcentral lists this ribosomal RNA (427 nucleotides) under uncultured Actinomycetes bacterium. RNAcentral's name for it is "bacterial SSU rRNA". It matches the Rfam family "Bacterial small subunit ribosomal RNA", at positions 9 to 430 of the family's 1533-position model. The record is from RNAcentral. Lineage: Bacteria; Bacillati; Actinomycetota; Actinomycetes.